Long non-coding RNA from Oncorhynchus keta (chum salmon), 650 nucleotides. RefSeq lists it as uncharacterized. Lineage: Eukaryota; Metazoa; Chordata; Actinopteri; Salmoniformes; Salmonidae. The transcript has 2 exons. The record is from RefSeq and is a predicted model, not a curated record.
UCGAGCUGUUUUGCAAGGAGGAAUGGGAAAAAUGUUCAGUCUCUCGAUGUGCAAAACUGAUAGAGACAUACCCCAAUCGAUUUACACCUGUAAUCGCAGCAAAAGGUGGCGCUACAAAGUAUUAACUUAAGGGGGCUGAAUAAUUUUGCACGCCCAAUUUUUCAGUUUUUGAUUUGUUAAAAAGUUUGAAAUAUCCAAUAAAUGUCGUUCCACUUCAUGAUUGUGUCCCACUUGUUGUUGAUUCUUCACAAAAAAAUACAGUUUUAUAUCUUUAUGUUUGAAGCCUGAAAUGUGGCAAAAGGUCGCAAAGUUCAAGGGGGGCGAAUACUUUCGCAAGGCACUGUAUAUGAGAGAUAAACAGGUGUAGUGUAUAGGUGUGUGUGUAUAUAUAUAUAUAUAUAUAUGAGAGAUAAACAGGUGUAGUGUAUAUGUGUGUGUGUGUGUAUAUAUAUAGAGAGAAACAGGGCGUAUAGGUAGUAGUGUAUAUGGUUUAUGGUAGGAUGUAGGUUUAUGGUAGGAUGUAGGUUUAUGGUAGGAUGUCAGUUUAUGGUAGGAUGUAGUUUGUGAAUCCUGUCUCAGGGUUUCGAAGCCUGGUCUGGGCAGCGUUGGGUUUCCUGUAGUGUUUAGGGUGUAGGGUGCAGGGCUUACCA